GACGAACGCUGGCGGCGUGCUUAACACAUGCAAGUCGAACGGAAAGGCCCUGCUUUUGUGGGGUGCUCGAGUGGCGAACGGGUGAGUAACACGUGAGUAACCUGCCCUUGACUUUGGGAUAACUUCAGGAAACUGGAGCUAAUACCGGAUAGGAGCUCCUGCUGCAUGGUGGGGGUUGGAAAGUUUCGGCGGUUGGGGAUGGACUCGCGGCUUAUCAGCUUGUUGGUGGGGUAGCGGCUUACCAAGGCUUUGACGGGUAGCCGGCCUGAGAGGGUGACCGGCCACAUUGGGACUGAGAUACGGCCCAGACUCCUACGGGAGGCAGCAGUGGGGAAUAUUGCACAAUGGGCGGAAGCCUGAUGCAGCAACGCCGCGUGCGGGAUGACGGCCUUCGGGUUGUAAACCGCUUUCGCCUGUGACGAAGCGUGAGUGACGGUAAUGGGUAAAGAAGCACCGGCUAACUACGUG
This 468-nucleotide ribosomal RNA is filed under the name uncultured bacterium. Its description in RNAcentral is "partial 16S ribosomal RNA". It matches the Rfam family "Bacterial small subunit ribosomal RNA", at positions 28 to 507 of the family's 1533-position model. The record is from RNAcentral.